CUCCAGACUCCUACGGGAGGCAGCAGUGGGGAAUAUUGCACAAUGGGGGGAACCCUGAUGCAGCGACGCCGCGUGGGCGAGGAAGUAUUUCGGUAUGUAAAGCCCUAUCGGCAGGGAAGAAGAAAUGACGGUACCUGAAUAAGAAGCACCGGCUAAAUACGUGCCAGCAGCCGCGGUAAUACGUAGGGGGCAAGCGUUAUCCGGAUUUACUGGGUGUAAAGGGGGCGCAGACGGCAGCGCAAGCCAGGAGUGAAAGCCCGGGGCCCAACCCCGGGACUGCUCUUGGAACUGCGCGGCUGGAGUGCAGGAGGGGCAGGCGGAAUUCCUGGUGUAGCGGUGAAAUGCGUAGAUAUCAGGAGGAACACCGGUGGCGAAGGCGGCCUGCUGGACUGCGACUGACGUUGAGGCUCGAAAGCGUGGGGAGCAAGCAGGAUUAGAUACCCGCGUA
Molecule: ribosomal RNA, 448 nt
Filed under: uncultured bacterium
Lineage: Bacteria
Description: partial 16S ribosomal RNA
Rfam family: Bacterial small subunit ribosomal RNA
Source: RNAcentral